Molecule: long non-coding RNA, 8793 nt
Filed under: Trifolium pratense (red clover)
Lineage: Eukaryota; Viridiplantae; Streptophyta; Magnoliopsida; Fabales; Fabaceae
Description: long non-coding RNA (TPRA_LNC003563)
Source: RNAcentral
CUUUAACAGGAAGAUCCUUAACAGGAGGUGUCUCAUCCUUAACAGGUGCAAAAUUACCAGCAAGCCAGUGAUGAGGAAGUGAAUUAUCAUAAAAUAACUUAACAAUAAGUUUCUCUAACAAAUCAACAGCUUUUGAAGUGAAACCAUUACUGGGUUUUGGUUCUAUUUUCACAAUCCCUCCUCCUUUUUUCUCAGACUCCAUUUUGUGUUUGUGUUUGAAAGAAAGCCUUGAUAUUUACGUAAUUGGGUUUGUGAUAGCGGUGCAAUAUAAUGAAAUGAUGAUGCUUGUUUUUUCUAUGGCUUCCAUUCCAUUCCAUUGUGGCCUUAUAACUGCCACGUGGUUAUCAUAGUAGUGUGUAGAUUCUACAUGUACUUUGAAACUUCCUCCACUUUGUGCUUUGUUGUCAUUGUCAUUUGUCUCAGAGUAGCCACAAAUAAUACCCAAUAUUUUUAUUUAUUUUUUACUAAAUACCCAAUAUUUUUAGAAAAAAGUAUAUGCUCUGACGGUGUAAUCUAACAUCAGUAAACCAAUAUCAAAUAUGUUUUCCGCAAUGUCAUCUUGCCUAGUGUAAUUUUACAUUUGUCAACCAAUAUCAAUCAUGUUUUCCGCCACAUAAUUCACUUUAUCCCACUUUCUUGAUAUAUGGCAAAAUGAUAAUUGUUUAUUAGAUGAUCGUGUAAAAUUAUUUUACACGUCAGUGCAUUUUCAUUAAACUCAUAUUUUUAAGUUCUUAUAAAAUUUAGUGUUGUGUAGGAUCCAAUCAAAUUCGAAGAUAAUUGUACUUUUGGUUUCUUAAUUUCAUCGUUUUAUAGAAUUUGUCUUUUUAUUUUAAAAUUUUACCGUUUUUAUCUCUACGUUUUAUUGUUUAACUAUAAAUUUGCAAUAUGUCAUGUUUUAAAUGACGUGAUAUAUGAUCUGAUGAUGAAAAAAUAUCAACAUCAAUGAGAUCGUAAGAAAGUUUCUUUUUAAACUUAAGGCGUUUGGAUUCGCUGGUUUUUUUAGCUUAUGUAAAACAGCUUAUACAAAUAAAUAAGUUUUAAUGUGUUGUAAGUUUGUCAAGAAGUUAUGUAUUGAAAGUUUAUGAAAACAGCUUAUAAAAAUACAAUUUUAGUUAGUUAGAACUUAUGAAUUAACUUAAAAACUUAUUUAUUUGCAUCAGUUGUUUUAUAUAAGCUCAAAAAUAAAUCAAUCCAAAUGGAUUUUUAAUUUAAAACGUGUUGUAUUACCAUAGUUUAGAUAAAAUACUUGACAUAAGGAUCAAAACUGUCAAAUUUUAAAAAUUGAGGAACUAAUUAUGCAAAAUGAUAAAAAUAUAAGAAUCAAAACUGGAAUUAAGCUAAUUAUUUUGACAAAAAGAUUGCCCAUAUAAUAAUCUGACAUCGGGUCAAAACAGGAUCAAGUUGGCAAUCUUAUUAUUCAUGUACUUCUAUUAAUUUCUUUUCAAAUUAUUUGAAUACUUAUACUUAUUUUAAAAUAUUAAUCACAAAUUAGUUAGGAUAAUAUGACAACAUUGUUGAUUUUUCAAAUUAGAAAAUUUUGUGCUAAGAAACGGACCUACCACUGUAUUUAAAUACAAAAUAUUAUUGAUUUAUAUAUUAUCAACCACAAAAUUACUUAUAAAAUUAAGAAUGCGUGUAUAUAAGGUUAAUUAGGAUCAAAUGACAUCAAGAUGUCAAAUUUUAAAAUAAGACACCUCCGAUAAUUUUUUAUUGGAUAAUCGUCUUACAAAAUUGACCGUUGGAUUGAACUAUAUUAUAAUAUAAAUCAUGUCUAUAAAAUAUGACAUUAAUCGAAAUUUAUUUGAUAGGUCCAUGAGAUACAUCAAAAUUAACUCAUUUUUUGAAUGUUCGUAAAACAUUAAUUUUGAUGUAUCUCAUUGACGUAUCAAAUGAUUUUCGAUUAAUUUUUUUUUACCUUCACCACCAGUUUAAUCUGGUUCGGGGGUCAAUUCUAGCAUUAAAUAGUUUAAGCCUUCUCCCGAUUGCAGUUGCGAGAAUCGAAUUAUGGUCCUCAUUAAUGUUAUAUUUUAAAUAUAUAAUCUAUGUUAUGGUACUUUUCAAUCCAACGGUCAAUAUCUAGUAAAGAAUUAUUGAAGGUGUCAUAUAAAAAGUUUGACAUCUUAAUAUCUAUUAUAUUUAGUUAUUAAAUAAAUAAAAAAUUGUCAUUAAAAUUGUCUACCUUUUUUUAGUAAAAAAGUCUUCUUCUUUUUUAACACAUGGUAAAAAAGUCAUUAAAAUAUAUUUUUUAUAUAUUUUGGGUCAACUCGAUUUCAUCAUAAAUAGACUGUUGAUAUUAAAUGACAAUGUCAUUGCAUGUCAGCAUAACUAUUUAAUCCUAAUCUUUACACAGUGCUUUUAGAAAUAAGUUUUAAAAUUUUAAAAGCAUAAUAGAUACAAUACUAGUGUGUCAAAGAUAAAGAAGAUAUAUGAAUAAGUAUGAUUCCUUCUGUUUUGUUCACUUUGCAAAUGAUAAAAUGGAAACACUAUUCCAUUGUAGAAUAUCCAAACAAAUACUAUAUGGUUUGUAGAAAGAUUUGUACACAGAUUGAGGCAGUGCAAUGAAAUGCAAUGAGGUUUGUCCACAUGUUUACAAUUUAGCCUGUUCUUGCAGUUGAUCCUGUAAAUAGAUCCAUCAAAAAUGAAAUACUAUGCAUUUAAAAUUAGUUUUAUGAAGUAACACUAAUUUUAUGAAGUAACACACACCUCUGUCACAAAUAAAGCAUGGAAACCAUAUGGAACUCUUUGAGGCAAUUCUACAACUGCAACAGGAUCUGCUGACAUUGUUUUUGCAUCGAUAACAUGCACGAAUGACUUCCUGCAGUUUCAAGUUUAAAACCAUGUUUACUUUUAUUCUAUUAACCGUGUUUGUUGUCUUUGUCAGUUGUGAUUGGUUGUUAGUGUAAAAUAACUUUACGCAGACGGUGCAUAUAAUUUAAUUUCAUAUAAUUCAUUGAUUGAUGUGUUCAGAGGAAAGGGAUACCCGGUAUUCUCAUCAUGUACAAAUAAGAUCAAGUAUCCAUCAUCUUCUUCGGAAUCAGUGCCAGGGACGCGUGGAACAAAAACAGCCUCCGAGCCAAACCUUCCUGGUCCCAAGUCAUAGAGACCUUGAACAUUUCCUCCAACUUCAAGCUUAGAUUUUCCCAAAUCCGGUUUGGCGUGCAAAUCAAAUUUAAUAAUCCCAGUAACCUUAGCAAUGCUGUCUAAUGUAGUUCCAUAUACAAAUCGUUGUUUCCUGAUGAAAUGAAAAUAGUAAAUAUACAGGUUAUUAUGCAUAAACUUAAUUCUUUCUCUUAAAACACAAUUAGGAAAGCACAUAUUGUAGCACUGAAAUACUACUCAUUUUCAAAUAAGCACAUUAUAAAAAAGAAUGUGACAAUGAAAAAUACCAACUAUCAGAUUGACAGAUGAUUAAUAGGGGGGAGCACUGAGCACAACCUAACACAGUCACUCAACCAACCAAACCUAUUCUAAUGUUACUUUUUCUCAAGCACAUUUGAUUGCGGAGUUCUGAUGUGAUCUAGUGCAUUAGUUUAGUACUAGUAAACAUGCAUCAAUAGAUUAAUACUUAUUACUUGUAUAUAUAUAAACUAAAAAAUUAUGUUGGCUCAACCCUAAUGAUUAAGUAGACUAAUUUACAAGUUCAGUAUUUGGCCUACCCUAAUUAUCAACAUGGAGAGAAUAAUCUAACCUGCCAGUGUAGCUGUCAUUCACCCUAGGGAAGUCUACAGCAGAUGCUGAUAGUUUCUUUUGAGAAGCUUCACCGGUUUUCAUGUUAAAUCUCAUUUCAUACCUGGAAAGAGUUUGAUAACUGUAAAUAUAGAAUAACAAUCAACAAAAUUUGCUCCAAAAAUUUGCAUAUAAGAACAAGGUUUUGUUACAGCUCAUUUGUGAUAUUUUCAAGCUUUUCCUUGAUGGCCCCGUUGGCCUGGUCCAAAUUUGGAUUCUCUGCGCGGCACGUGAUCAAGACAAUUUCAUCCUCCUCUUCCCAAGCAUUGGCUAGAAAAGGAAAAAAAAAAAGAGUCGUAUAAACGAUAAAAAUGGGCAUGUCUAUCAGAAAUAAAGAAUUUACAGCACAAAUUGAAUCUUGCUUUUUUUUCCAUAACCUAUAAGCAUAAUUCAUUGCUCUUAUUCUAUCUUGCAGUGGUUUGCAUGUUACUAUGAACUGAAAAUCAAAAGAACGGGGAAAUGAAUAUAUUAUAUUAAGGAGAAAUAAAAGCAAACAAACAUACCAUUGUGGAAUAUGAAGCAGUUUGGUAGUUCAAACCAUCUAAUAAGAUUCUCAUCCUUAGCAUAUCGAGGUAGGGCACCAAAACGAGCUUUCUUGGUUGAAUCAAAAGAGAAUAUCAAUGUCUUAUUCUUCACCAUUUCCUGAAAAAUGGAUUUUUAUUCCACAAUUCCAGUUUUAGAGUUUAAAAAAUCAAGCUUCACAUAGUUGAACGAUAUAAUUAACAAACUAAUCUUUAGUCGGAUCAUAUGAAUAGCACCUACAGUACCUUUGGCCUAAAGUACAGAGGAAGAUCCAUAAAUAUUGAAUAAUUCUCUGUGAUGGCAAAGUCAUGCAUCAUAAUUGGAUCUGAUAUUGUUAUGGGAACAGGAUCAUGCAUAAAACCAUCCUUUGAAACUACUCUAUAUGUGAUAUAUGGUGGUGUAUGUGAAUAUCCAAAUGUAAACAUCUCUCCUGCAAAUAGAAAAGUUAUAUGUUGAGAGUAAUUCAUUGUAAUCUAAAUCAAUUACUUGUAUCUUAAGAAACAAGUUUGUCAGAGUUUGUUGUUUAAGUUUGUUAUAGAUUCGAAAUGUUGUUCUGUUAGUUAGUGAACAUGUGAGUGAAUAUAGAUUCAAAAUUUUGUUUUGUUAGUUAGUGACUCAUCUAUAAAUACUAGUACUCUUCAUAAUAGUGAUUACUUCCCUCUCUAUUUUAUAUCUCUUCAUAUUAUUCAUCUUCUUCCAUAGUUAGAAAUUGUGUGUGUGUGUCUCGUGAGCAUAGCUCAGUUGGAAGGGACAUUGCAUUAUAUAUGCAGGCGACCGGGGUUUGAACCCCGGUCAUCCCACUUAUCCACCUUAAGGGUGGAAUUUCUAGCCACUAGGCUACUUGACCAAAAAAAAAAAGAAAUUGUGUGUGUGUUCAAGUUCCUAAACCUAAUCUGCGCCUAUCACUUGUGUCCUGUGUUCGAGUUUUGAGCCUAAAGCACCUAUCGUGUGUGUGUGCAAGUUCUGCGCCAACCGUGCCUAUCGUUUGACUCGUGUUUUUGAGCUCGUUGCACACCAACAGGAAUCACUAUACCAUUAUAUCACUCAACUUAAUCACUUAUAUAAAGAUGGCUUCACCGGUAAAUGGGUCAACUUUUGGAUGAGCAGUGAAGCUAUGGCCCAAUCUCUUGUCAUAAUCUAGCUGACCAAGUGUCUGCAAAUCACCAUCUUCAAAAACUUUAAUAGCAUCUGCAAAAUUUAAAAUGAGACUACUUCAGCACCAUAGGAGAAGAGGUAAAUACGAUUAUAGCUAGUCGAACACUGUGAUACAAUUAUGAAUUUACUAUGUUUUAAAAACUAGACCGGAGAUCAAACCAGUGAGACCUCCGGAUAAUGGUUCAAUUGAUUCAGUUGGUUGAACCACGACAAAUAAAUAAAAAUGUAUUAAAAAGUAAAUAUAAAGUAAAAAAUGAAAACUGGUUGAACCAACUGUGAUUCAACUCCAGUCCAAUCUAGUUCAAUCAAACUGUAAUGUAAUCAGGAUCAAACCAGCCGGCAAACUGGCUGGUUUCUGGUAGCACCGGCUGAUUCGGUCUGGUUUUCAUAACAUUGUGAUUAAGUCACUAAUUAGACUGAAGUUGCUUUCUCCAAGAGAGAUGGAAAAUAAAACUUGUUGCUUAAGAUCAUAAUGGCUGAACUUGAUGAAUCUUUUUAACCACUAUGUUCUCUAUUUUAUUGAUGGCAUUUUAAAUAGAACAAGUUUAUAUCUUUCAUAUAAGCAAAAGUGUAAAACAGAAAGGAAAAGUACUCACAAGGUUUGUCUCCUUCUGAGAGUGCUAGAAGCUUUUGAUGGUGAUAUACGAGAGCUGUAUUAGCUGCUCGGCAUAAGAAUAUGAACACAUGUUAGUUUCAUAUCUUCAAGUCAUACACAAGACGAAGUAUCAUCAUGUAACAAAUUCUCCAUUCACUUUAAAGAAAUUGAGAGAGGAAUAAGAAUCAUGUUUGUCAUAUAGGACGCAAAUUGCAUAGCACAAGUUACCUGUUCCAUGUCCAUAAGAAACGUCCAGUACUUUCAGUUUAGCUCGCAACAUUUGCACGUUAACCAUUAACAGUCCAAAUAGACCUUUGAGAUCUCCAAUCUGAAAAUGGCAUAAAAUAAGACGCAUUUAUCUUGCAAAUAUAAACCAAACCAUGUAGCUUUAUAUACUUUUCAUUGUUAUAUUCUUCACUAAUUGUCUAUACUUUUACUUUCUUUAUGUACCUUCAUAAAUUUAGAGCCUCCAAAGUAUUCUUCUUGUUUAAAACGAGAAGUUUUCACAAAGCGGGAAACAUAUGUAGCUUUUCCAUCUUUGAUACGCAAACCAUGAAUCAUUCUGCAAUUAAUUGAUACAUAGAUGAACAUUCAAAGACUACAUACCAAAAUCAUGAACUUGUUAUAGUUACUUUUUGACACAACUUGUUAUAGUUAUUACUGAAAACACAAUAUCACGCACCCAUCUCCGUCAAACCUGCAAACACAGAGGGAAAACACCGUAUGAGAAUAACAGCCACAUUAAACUAAAGAUGAUCCCCAUCUAUAUCAAAUCUCGAUAUGUGUCCUCCACCAAGAUUGGUGAAAGAUCUCAUAAAAUACUAUUUAAAGCAUAAAAAAAAGUUGGGGAGGGGGGAAAUUUUACCAAUGAUAUCCAGCCACGGGAGCAAACCUCGGAUUGGAUCCCACCCUAACAAACUCUCCAUUCAAGCAAUCCUGCAAUACACAUCAAAUGGUAAGUAGUGAGCAGCAAGACCUGAUAAUGCUCUAAAAGGACUAGCUCCCACAACAUAGCAAAUCACAGUUCAAAUCAACGUUGGAAGCGGUGCAUGCAUUUAGUCCCCGACAACUCCUUAAAUAGAAUUGCAUCAGGAGAUCUUUGAGUUCACGAAAAAAUAAUAAUCCAAGAACUGACUGAAAGAUGGACAUGGCUGUAAGUUUUCGUAUAAUCACGAGACCUUCUCAUGAAAUCUACAAACACCGACUGAUUUGAGUGAAGGUGAAAAUAUGUCGAUAUAUCAACCAACAUACAGUUCUUUUUUUUGUUAUAGCUAGCUAGAAUUUUUAUUGUUGGCUUUCAAUUUUCAAUAUGAACGACUUUUCAGUGCUUGAGAUUAAGACUUACUUAUAUUCAUUACCUUACAAAAAGUAUUAGAAAAUUUCCAAACCAUAAAAUCUUCAAAUAUUUGAAGCACAUUUCCAAUAUUUCAUCUUGUUUGUUACAAGAAUACAGCUGCUUCAAUAUUCUUCACAUAGCAUAGAAAGGUUACUCGGUGAUAAUGAGCCUCAGAUAAGAAUUACAAACCUAGUCUUUAUCAUCAAUAAGCAAAAUUCAAACUUUUUAAUUAAUUAUCAUUUAAAGAUGUGUUAGUGGUCCCAAUAAAUAAGUUUUCCAACAAUACUUAAUAAAACCAACUCAAAAAGCCAAACAUUUUUAAUGAUAGUGACACAUGAAUUCAUGCUUGUGUAAAAAAGCUUCAACUAGUGCAUGUUUGGAUUCACUUUUAAGAGUGACAAAAGCGGCUCUAAAAACUUCAAAUUCAUUUUGGUAUGUUUGAUUUUAGAUUAUAAUUGAUUUUGCUUCUAGAACUAAUUCUAAUAAGCCAAUAUUUGUAGCUUUUAUCUCCAAACGUGAAAUUUACUCUCCAAUUUAUUGUUCAAUUCACUUUCAUGUAAAUGUAUCCAAACAUAAACUUAUUUUAUCAACGUCCAGGGGUUGGCCGGGUAACAUAGGGUUGAGACAAUGAAGUGUACUUCUCUCUAGGUCUCAUUUUGGAAUCCUCUCUGUGCCAAUUUCUUGUGUUGAGUCAGUCCAUACAAAAUUUUGCUCUAACAUCUAUCUGGUCCCCCCACUAGUGGACGGUGAGAUAGGGCUUCUGGACUAGUCGAUCCUUAGGCCGGAUACCAAGUUUCCAAAAAAUAUAUAUUAUCUUUUCUUUCUUUUUUAAAAACUAAUCGGAGGGACGCCAAUCCCACCAUCCACUAGCGGGGCCAUUUUAAGCGGACUGACCCAACACAAGAAAUGACAUUGGGAAGAUUCGAAUUUGAAACCUUGAGAGGAGCACACUCAAAGUCCCAUUUAUCUUAAACUCACUUUUAACAAAAUAAGCACAAUUUAACAAAACCAUUCAAUCAAAAAUCAAUUUUCACAACCAUAAAAAACAAACACACACUAGAUUAGUGUGUCAAGUUUAAUUCUUUUUUCUCCGAUCAUCUAGAUUCUGUUAAUUCCUUAUCUGGCUCUUCCACUUCUAACUGAUAAAACAUACAACAACAUUAACAAAAACAACAGAAGCAAUUUUGACUAACCGGAAGGUGUCCUUUAACAGGAAGAUCCUUAACAGGAGGUGUCUCAUCUUUAACAGGUGCAAAAUUACCAGCAAGCCAGUGAUGAGGAAGUGAAUUAUCAUAAAAUAACUUAACAAUAAGCUUCUCUAACAAAUCAACAGCUUUUGAAGUAAAACCAUUACUUGGUUUUGGUUCCACCUUCACAAUCCCUUCUCCUUUUUUCUCAGACUCCAUUUUGUGUUUCUGUUAGAAAAGUCUUCGCUGGCCUAGCAAACUGCCAGGUGGUU